GUGAAAUUUAGGUGAACCAUAAAAUGGUUUCACAAGGUAAAUCUUGACAUUUUGACACAUUGUGAUGUCAUGGAUGACAUCAAUAGGAAGAAUUCACUCCUAUAAAUAGGUAGUUCCUAAUUCAUUUGUAACACACCUCUCACUUGCCUUCUCAUCUUCAAAGGCAUUUGAUCUUCUUUCUCUCUUGUAGUAUUUCACUUGUACUCUUUUGGAGUGAAAUAAAUAUUGGUUGGUUGUGUCCGAGGAGUAGGCAAAAGAAAACAAAAGUUUGCCGAACCUCGUUAAUUCUUGGUGUUCUUUUUAUUGUUGUCUCAUCUACUAUUUAUUAGCUACCUUUAGAUAUAACAGUUGUGAUUUCAUCACUCUCUAUAUAUUCGGCUUCCGCAACAAUUGGUAUCAGAUCCAAGGUAUUAUCUGAGUAUGCUCUGUGGUUGCAACAUAGAUUGAACUUCCACAUCAGAAAAGAUUUACUUUGGUCUUUGCAUUGUUAGCUAGUAAAUAGUAUUUGUAGCAAAAAUGGGAGACAAUUAAAAUGAUGAGUCCACAUCGAAUGUCAAUAAUACGUCAUCAUUGACAUCUUCGCUUAUGACACGAAUUGUGUCAAAUGCAAAAUUUGCAGUUGAAAUUUUUGACGGGUCAAGACAUUUCGGAAUGUAGCAAGGCGAGGUCCUUGAUGUUCAUUUUCAACAAGGGCUAGAUAUUGCCAUAGAAGAAAAGAAACCAGACGGUGUAGGAGAAGAAGAUUGAAAGAUUAUCAACCGUGUUGCAUGCGAUACCAUUCGAUCUUACCUAGCAAGAGAACAAAAGUAUCCAUACACAAAGGAAACAUCUGCAAAUAAAUUAUGGAAUUCAUUGGAGGAGAAAUUCUUGAAGAAAAACAGUCAAAAUAAACUUUACAUGAAAAAAAGACUGUUACGCUUCACUUAUAUUCUUGGUAGCACAAUAAAUGAUCAUAUCACUAGCUUUAAUAAGUUGGCGACAGAUUUGCGGAAUAUGGACGUGACUUUUACGGAUGGAGAUAUGGCCUUAAUGUUGUUAAGUUCACUUCCCAAUGAGUUCGAGCACCUUGAAACUACUCUACUGCAUGGGAAUGAUGAAGUAUCUCUCAAAGAAGUUUGUUCUGCCUUAUAUAGUUAUGAACAAAGAAAGAGAGAAAAACAAAAGGGCGGAGAAGCAGAAGCUCUGAUUGUGAGAGGUCGUUCUCAAAAUCAUGAGAGAACGAAGAAUGGGAGAUCCAAGUCAAGAUCCAAACUCAGCAAAGAUGAAUGUGCCUUUUGCUGAGAAAAAGGGCAUUAGAAGAAAAACUGCCCAAAGUUGAAAAACAAAGCCAAACCAAAUAAUGGGAAGGCUGUCAUGGAUUCAAAUGUGGCUAAUUGUGAUGACUUCGAUUACUCAUUAGUUACAAUAGAUCCAUCCAAAUCAUUUGAUGUAUGGUUGAUGGACUCAGCUUGUAGCUGUCCCAAUAGAGACUGGUUUGUUGAUUUACAAGAAGGAGAAUGUGGAGUUAUUCACACCGCAAACAAUAAUCUUCUUACCGCAUAUGGUGUUGGUUCAAUUCGAUUAAGGAAUCAUGAUGGAUUGACCAAAAACAUUAACAGAUGUUCGGUAUGUACCGGAUUUGAAGAAGAAUCUCAUUUCUGUUGGAGCCAUAGAGUCAAAGGGAUUCAAAGUCAUUGCAGAUAAAUGGCGUAAUGAGAAUAUGCUCCGGUGCGCUGGUGGUAAUGAAGGCAAUUAGAAGAAAUAAUAUGUACCACUAUCAAGGUAGUACAGUUAUUGGGACAGCAGCAACAACAUCCAAUGACGACAAGGAGGCAAAAUUGACCAGGCUGUGGCAUAUGCGCUUGGGACAUGCUGGCGGAAAAUCCUUGAAAACUUUAUCAGAUCAAGAAUUACUAAAAGUAGUAAAAACUUGCAACUUGGAGUUUUGUGAGCAUUGCGUCAAGGGAAAGCAAACAAGGGUUAAAUUUGGAACAACUAUCCAUACUACUAAAGGUAUUUUGGAUUAUGUUCAUUCAGAUGUUUGGGGUGCUUCCAAAACACCUUCAUUAGGUGGGAAACACUAUUUUGUAACCUUUGUUGAUGACUUUUCCCGAAGACUGUGGGUGUAUACGAUGAAAACAAAAGAUGAAGUAUUGGGAAUUUUUCUCAAAUGGAAGGCGAUGAUAGAAACUCAAAGUGGCAAAAAGAUCAAGUGUCUUCGCACAGACAAUGGUGAAGAAUACAAAAAUGAUCUUUUUCAGAAAAUUUGUGAGAAAAAUGGCAUCGUCAGGCAUUUCACCGUUAGAAAUACACCACAACAGAAUGGAGUGGCAUAACGCAUGAACCGAACUUUGCUAGAGAAGGUUCGGUGUAUGUUGUCCAAUGCUGGCUUGGGCAAAAUUUUUUGGGCUGAGGCAAUAACAUAUGCGUGCCACCUCAUUAAUCGUCUACCAUCUACUGCUAUAGGUGGGAAGACGCCAUUAGAAAAAUGGUAUGGAAAACCUGUUGAAGAUUAUGGUUCUUUAUAUGUAUUUGGCUCAAUUGCAUAUUAUCAUGUAAGAGAGUCAAAAUUGGACCUAAGAGCAAAGAAAGUUUUAUUUAUGGGAAUUACUUCUGGAGUCAAAGGAUAUCGUUUAUGGUGUCCAGAGACAAGAAAAAUUAUUUUCAGCAGGGAUGUUACCUUUGAUGAAUCUNNNNNNNNNNNNNNNNNNNNNNNNNNNNNNNNNNNNNNNNNNNNNNNNNNNNNNNNNNNNNNNNNNNNNNNNNNNNNNNNNNNNNNNNNNNNNNNNNNNNNNNNNNNNNNNNNNNNNNNNNNNGAAGAAGAGCCAGUCGAAGGGGAGGUUCCAUCUCAAGAACCUCAACCACAACUUGAAUCAAUAGCAACCAACAAGCCAAAAAGGACAAUAAGAAAAUCUGCUUGACUCAUAGAUAUGGUGGCUUGUGCAGACUCAAUUGCAGCUGGUGAUAUUCUUACCACUUAUAAAGAUGUUGUCCAAAGUUCAGAAGAAGAUAAGUGGAGGUUUGCCAUGGAUGAAGAAAUGCAGUCCCUUCAUCAGAAUCAUACAUGGAAAUUGGCUAAUCUCCCGGAUGGCAAGAAAGUAAUUGGGUGCAAAUGGGUAUUUGCAAAGAAAGAAGGAUUUCCUAACCAAGAAGAUGUUCGCUACAAAGCAAGAUUGGUGGCCAAAGGAUAUGCUCAAAAGGAGGGAAUUGACUAUAAUGAGGUAUUUUCUCCAGUUGUGAAACACUCCUCCAUUAGAGUUUUGUUGGCUUUGGUAGCACAGUUGAAUUUGGAACUAGUUCAGUUGGAUGUAAAAACUGCAUUUUUACAUGGAGACUUGGAAUAUGAAAUCUACAUGACUCAGCCAGAAGGAUUCAAAGUUGAUGGAAAAGAAAAUAUGGUGUGCAAACUUGAAAAAUCAUUGUAUGGAUUGAAACAAUCUUCUAGACAAUGGUACAAACGAUUUGACAAGUUUAUGUUGCAGCAAAGGUACAUAAGAAGCAAAUACGAUCAUUGUGUGUAUUUGCGCAAGCUUGAAGACGAUUCCUUUAUAUAUCUUCUCCUAUAUGUUGAUGAUAUGUUGAUAGCUUCUAAAAUUCAAGAGGAAAUUGAGAAGCUAAAGAUUCAACUAAAAAAGGAGUUUGAGAUGAAGGAUUUGGGUGAGGCAAAGAGGAUUCUUGGCAUGGAGAUAAAAAGAGAUCGACAUUCAAAGAAGCUUUUUUUUUAUCUCAGAAAGAAUAUUUGAAGAGGGUACUAAAUCGAUUUGGCAUGAAUGAGAAAACAAAGUCGGUUAGCACUCCACUUGCUCCUCAUUUUAAGCUUAGUGAUGCUAUGUCGCCAAAGAAUGAAGUUGCAUGAGAAUAUAUGUCAAGAGUGCCAUAUGCGAAUGCUGUUGGUAGCUUGAUGUAUGCAAUGGUUUGCACAAGGCCAGAUAUUUCACACGCUGUUGGAGUUGUAAGCAGGUACAAGCAUAAUCCUGGAAAGGAUCAUUGGCAGGCUGUAAAAUGGAUUCUACGGUAUAUUAAUAAUACUGUAGCUAUUGGCUUGGUUUAUGAGCAUAAAGAUUGUCAAUAUCUUGUUGGAUGUUGUGACUCAGAUUAUGCAGGUGAUUUGGACAAACGAAGAUCAACUACUGGUUAUGUUUUCACUAUUGCAAACGCACCAGUUAGUUGGAAGUCUACUUUGCAGUUAAUAGUUGCUUUGUCUACCACUGAGGCAAAACAAUAGCCUCGCCCGUGCUUUAUUUGGUAAUUUACUAUCCUUGCUCAUUGUUUUCAGUUACAACUUACAAGUCAAACAGAAAAUAAGCUUAAUGAAAUAAGAAGAAAUAUUGCUCGUUCGUAAUUCAUGAAAGAGUUCAAAAUGAGAGAAGGUAUGCAUAGAUUCUUAGUUCUCAUUAAAAUGCAGGUCCAGAAGAACAUCGUCUCCGAAUAGACUGGCCAACAAGGCAAAAAAUCUGCAUUGGGAUAGCAAAAGGAUUAGCUUUUCUACACGAAGAAUCGUCAUUAAAAAUUGUUCAUAGGGACAUCAAAGCAACAAAUGUUAAAUUUGACAAGAUUCAAAGAUGAAUUAAUGUGAAGAUUUGGUAGUUAGGAAGAUAAUUCUUCAUUGGUACAAAAGUCAAGAUAACAUCUUUUGUAGGUGAAAUUUAGGUGAACCAUAAAAUGGUUUCACAAGGUAAAUCUUGACAUUUUGACACAUUGUGAUGUCAUGGAUGACAUCAAUAGGAAGAAUUCACUCCUAUAAAUAGGUAGUUCCUAAUUCAUUUGUAACACACCUCUCACUUGCCUUCUCAUCUUCAAAGGCAUUUGAUCUUCUUUCUCUCUUGUAGUAUUUCACUUGUACUC
RNAcentral lists this long non-coding RNA (4824 nucleotides) under Solanum tuberosum (potato). Its description in RNAcentral is "long non-coding RNA (STUB_LNC005055)". The record is from RNAcentral. Lineage: Eukaryota; Viridiplantae; Streptophyta; Magnoliopsida; Solanales; Solanaceae.